Molecule: long non-coding RNA, 679 nt
Organism: Culex pipiens pallens (northern house mosquito)
Lineage: Eukaryota; Metazoa; Arthropoda; Insecta; Diptera; Culicidae
Exons: 3
Source: RefSeq, a predicted model, not a curated record
CGUCGAGUAGAAAAGCUCAGUUGGCACAAGUGACCAGCAAAUUGGUUGAACCUGUUCGGGCAAGAUUUCUGCGUAAUGAUGCGGAAUUUCAUACAGGAACGGACCAUUUUUCGAAUCCAUCGUUUUCAGCCGGUCAACGGAUGUCCCGGAUCAUGUAUUCAGAUACACGGUCCGGACAUCCUGUCGUCGAGACGGUUUAGAGGUGCAAAUCGUUCAACACAAGUGACCUGGUGAUCCGGAACAAGCCCCUACGACGUGCGGAAAGAUUUUUCCGGUGGUGUCGAGAAAAACCCCCUCGUUGUGAUGGUUACCGCAAUCCGUCGGUCACCGGUUUCGGGAAAAAUGAACGCGUUACCGAUAAUUUUCUGCAAGGCAAAGAUGGAAGGACCACUCGGUGUUAGCAAGCGGCUCGCUCCUGACGCAAGCUCGAAGUCGGUUCCGGCUGCUACUUGCCACACUCCAGGCACGUGAGAUGUCCCCCAACUCGAUCUACGUCCCAGCAUCCUUAAUCCGGACUCGGCCAAGCGUUUGCGACAGAAUUCAUUUCCGGCAGGCCAUUUUGAAAAGAUUUUGUUCGUUUAAUUAAGCAGUUCAUGAAAAAGUUUAUCGUUUAAAUCAUUACUCUUUGCCAUGUAAUUUAGAGCAUUUUUGAAAAUAAAAUUGACGUUUUUUGCUGUUU